GAUCCUGUGUGAAAUGAAUUUUGAAUCAGACUGAGGAGAAAGGAUGAAUGAAGGCCACAUGGGUUUCAGAACAGAUGUUCUACAAAUAGGUUCAUUGUUGCAGGCUUUUUUUCAUUGAAAACAUUGCAAGGUGUCCAUAAAAACUUCUUGUGGACGUUUCACCCACUCCUCCUCCUUGUAUCUCUGAAGGCUCAGGCUAAUUGCAUCAUUUUCAGGGUAUUUUUGAAGAACAGAAGUGAUUUCAUUGUUUUGCCUGCAGGCUGGAAUGAUAACACUGCAGGGCGUGGUUCUCCUUAUGUAACAGUUCCCAUUGUUACUUUCUUAUUUGAAAGGUAGGUUUUCAAAGGUGAAACUGCACCCUUUAUAUUUAAAAGAAGGCAUUGGCCAGAUUUUCACUAGUGAUCAGAACCAUGGAAAUUAGACCUAAUGUAAUUUGACGUGGAUUGCAGAAUUAAAGAAUCUUGAGGCAGAAGGAAACAAUCACAUACAGCCACAACCCACAAUAUGCAGCAUGCUUGCCCCUGUGGCAGUGUCUGGAGAUGCAGAGAUGUGGACGGUUGAGAUUCCUGUGCUUACAAAGUUGACUUAGUGGGAAAACGGGGCAUUGAUUACAUCUCAUCCUCCUGAUAAAUGAUGCCAAUCUGGGAAACUCACUUAUUUCCAAGUUUGCCCUUACGUUGCUCUUGCCCCUAAUUCUGUUCUCAAGUGUAAUCAGGAGCGCCUGAUUUGUCGUGUUUGCCAAUUUCCAUUAUGUAAAUACUCCUACCUUGGCAAUAUUAAAUAACUGGUGUGGUGCUGAACACAAGAUUGGGAAGAGUUGUGUACCAUUGGCUUUUUGGUGUUAGUUAACACAGGGGCUCCUGCCACCACUGAACUCCACAUACAGUAAAUUAUCAUGACCGAUGAUGUAAUAACCAUAAACGAGGGUGGAUAAUGGUUCAUUGGGAACAGGAGUUUUAAAAGCUCUUUUAUACACAGUAUCUUUUUUAAGCAUAGUGAUAACACUGAGAAAUAAGUGCUAUUACCCCUCCCCAGGUUAAUCCAGCCUCUAUUCCCCAACACUAAAUUCUCAACCUCAUUGUAGUUAUCUCUACGUAACCACAAAAGGUUAUCCAAAUAUUUGGAGUAGAGUUGCUUGUAAGUGGCAGAUGUCAGAUUCAAACCCAUGUCUUUCUGAUCCCAGGAUGUGCACUUAUAAUCAAUGUGAAAUACAAAAUAUGUAAAAUUAAAAGCUAAUUGUGAAAAUUGAGCAGGGCCCUGUGGGGCUCCAGGGCACAGAAACCCUUCUGUGUUCCCUAUUUCUUGUCUGUAGGCUUCCUUCAGCCUCCUAGACCUUCCCUGAGUUCUAAAGGGUAGGUUCAAACCAUUGGUAAUCAGGGAAGGGCAGGGAUGCAGAGACAAAGGAGAAUAGUCAAACUACAAUAGUGCAGCCUUGGGAAAAGAUCCUGGUUCCCCCUUGGGAUACAGACAGCGAUAUCAUAAAGCUUUUCUGUAGAACUAAAACCCCCAACAAAAGGAAGGUGUUAACUUCUUAAUGAAACAUUUUCCUUCCAGAAGGAAAGGUCAUGGCAAGAUAACCUUAAGGACCACCAGAACCAGUCCCAGGCUACUAAACACCAGCUUUGGAGAAGAAUGCAAGCUUGCCUCUACCCUGAUUCUUAUCUGUGACCGUAUUUUCCGUCCCAAACUAUAAGACCCCUUCUUAUUCUCUCUCAAGGGAGGGCACAGUCUUUUGGGCAAUAAAUAAAUAAGGAUGGCUGUGCUCUCCUUUAUCUGGCAAGGCAAUAAAAGCUACUCAUUUCUACUUCACACAAAACUGUCUCCGGUUCGUAUUCAGCAUCUGUGAACAGAGGCCAGGUUUUUGCAACCAUUGAAUUUCAUCUAAGCUCUCUCCUUUCUGGUUGUAAGCAUCCAUAACCCAAAUGAAAUAGUUCAUUCAUUGAUUCAGUUUGCAGAGCAUCUGUGCAUGUUUGGUGUUGUCGGACAUACUCAUGUUGCAUAUGUGAACAAAACAGUAAAAACGAGAGUUGCCGGCUUGGCUCAGAGGGUUAAGAAUCAUGAGGAUGCAGGUUCCAUCCCUGGCCUCGCUCAGUGGGUUAAGGAUCUGGCAUUGCUGUGAGCUGCAGUGCAGGUCUCUGAUGCAGUUCUGAUCCUGUUUUGCUGUGCCUGUGGCAUAGACAGCAGUUGUAGUUCCAAUUUGACCCCUAGCCUGGAAAUUUCCAUAUGC
Molecule: long non-coding RNA, 2227 nt
Filed under: Sus scrofa (pig)
Lineage: Eukaryota; Metazoa; Chordata; Mammalia; Artiodactyla; Suidae
Description: lncRNA (ENSSSCG00050023208.1)
Source: RNAcentral